RNAcentral lists this ribosomal RNA (514 nucleotides) under uncultured bacterium. RNAcentral describes it as "partial 16S ribosomal RNA". It matches the Rfam family "Bacterial small subunit ribosomal RNA", at positions 28 to 523 of the family's 1533-position model. The record is from RNAcentral.
GACGAACGCUGGCGGCGUGCCUAAUACAUGCAAGUCGAGCGGAUGACGGAGGAGCUUGCUCCUCCUGAUUCAGCGGCGGACGGGUGAGUAACACGUGGGCAACCUGCCCUGUAGAUUGGGAUAACUCCGGGAAACCGGGGCUAAUACCGAAUAAUCCUUCGGACCUCAUGGUCCGAUGUUGAAAGACGGUUUCGGCUGUCCCCACAGGAUGGGCCCGCGGCACAUUAGCUAGUUGGUGAGGUAACGGCUCACCAAGGCCAUGAUGCGUAGCCGACCUGAGAGGGUGAUCGGCCACACUGGGACUGAGGCACGGCCCAGACUCCUACGGGAGGCAGCAGUAGGGAAUCUUCCACAAUGGACGAAAGUCUGAUGGAGCAACGCCGCGUGAGUGAAGAAGGUUCUCGGAUCGUAAAACUCUGUUGUGAGGGAAGAACAAGUACCGGAGUAACUGCCGGUGCCUUGACGGUACCUCAUUAGAAAGCCACGGCUAACUACGUGCCAGCCGCCGCCGUAA